Molecule: ribosomal RNA, 460 nt
Filed under: uncultured bacterium
Lineage: Bacteria
Description: partial 16S ribosomal RNA
Rfam family: Bacterial small subunit ribosomal RNA
Source: RNAcentral
CCUACGGGUGGCAGCAGUGAGGAAUAUUGGUCAAUGGGCGUAAGCCUGAACCAGCCAAGUCGCGUGAGGGAUGAAGGUUCUAUGGAUCGUAAACCUCUUUUAUAAGGGAAUAAAGUGCGGGACGUGUCCCGUUUUGUAUGUACCUUAUGAAUAAGGAUCGGCUAACUCCGUGCCAGCAGCCGCGGUAAUACGGAGGAUCAGAGCGUUAUCCGGAUUUAUUGGGUUUAAAGGGUGCGUAGGCGGCCUUUUAAGUCAGCGGGGAAAGUCGGUGGCUCAACCAUAGAAUUGCCGUUGAAACUGGGAGGCUUGAGUAUGUUUGAGGCAGGCGGAAUGCGUGGUGUAGCGGUGAAAUGCUUAGAUAUCACGCAGAACCCCGAUUGCGAAGGCAGCCUGCCAAGCCAUGACUGACGCUGAUGCACGAAAGCGUGGGGAUCAAACAGGAUUAGAUACCCUAGUAGUC